CUUAUGCAGUAUUUCCAGAUGAUGCCUGGCUGUAACACACUGAUGACUCCUGCCCCAGAGAACCGGGAGACAGCCUGGAGGGCAAGGAGAACGUCUUGCUGUUCGUUCUCGUGGCCACCGGGUGUCAUUCUAGGAGCAGACUUUGGCCAGCCUGGGAGCACUACUAUGGCAGCAGCACUGGAGGCCUCACACGGUCAGCGUUUUGUGGCCCCACUGAAGAGUCUGUGCCUUUCAAGAAACUCCAGAAAAUCAGUUCUGCUCCCCAUCCUGCUAAGGUACAUAGAGUGGCUUGCCAAUGGAUAAAUCCUUCAUCCAAAUUUAGAGUAAUUUUGGGGUCUCAAAAGCACUUGCUUCUGCUUUCCAGCCUUGCACCACAAUGGCUGCUCUCUAUUCUAAAGUAAAUUAUAUAGAGGAAGAGUUAAGAGAUUAUGUCUGUUUUUCUAUUGUUCCUUAUGUGAAACCAAUCCUAUGGCCUAUAUCUACUAUGCACAAUAGUAGGUCUCCAGUGGAAUACUGCUCUACACUAGUCUGGGUCCUCACGCAUAGUCAGUACUGCUGAUGAAGUGCAACAGAGUAGAGAAGGUAAUAUCAAUUUCUAUUAGAAGACAGCAGGACUGCCAACUAUCACCACUCAAUAUGCACUAACAACUUGGGCAAGUUGUCUGUCUUCAUUUUCAAAGCUGAACUGUCAGCAGCCACAACUGACAGACUUUGGUUGCUGCCACUUGCUGCCUUUCAGUUAGGACCAAUGCCUCCAGUCAAACAGCUUGGAUUAAAAAUUACCAGUGGAAAUUAUGAAGCUCCAUUCCUGCAAGUAAGUCUUGAUUUCAUCUGAUGGAAUGUAGCUGUUGGUUACCAAGUGAAACAUGUACAGUAUAUGCUCUGUCUGAACAUAACAACAUGAUGGUAAUGUGGUUGAAAAAACCCAUACCCAGUUAUAGUACUAGCAGAUAUUUUAUAAUAAAGCAUGUUAUAAUUGUGGUUUAUAAACCUAGGUGCUUUAGCCAUUUAUGUGUUCUUAGGGAAAUAUCUAAUAUUUUAAGUAGUUCUGUUGUGUUUGUUAAGUUAUAUAGGUUGACAAUAUAUUAUCAAGCUGAUAAUGUGUACUUGCUGGCUGUAUUUCUUCCAAAAUAAAGCAGUAAUUACAUGUUGACAGUGGAGAAAGAGGGGCUGGGUUCCUGCAGCUGAGUACCCAGAAAAGGCAGGAAUGAGUCAGAAGUGUUUAUUAGGAAGAAGCCAACAGAGAGAGUUUUGAAGUCCAGAUUGUUAGCUAAAAAGAGACUUUGUGAUUAAAGAAACUGACUGCUCUUGCAUCUGUUCCUGAGAAAAUGAGAAAUGAAAAGGGAUAUAUUCUAAUUAGGAUAACAGCUAAACUUGCCUAUUACCUACAUCUAAGGGUGAAGAACUCCCCUAUUGACUAUUUGAGCCAAUAGUAAUAUGUGCCCAUGGAGGAACUUGAACUGUACAAGGACUUCCACUCUAUAUUGGCAGAGAGCUGGAUGCAGUUCUGGCAUCUCAUUUGUGCUCACUAGACCUAUAAUGACAGUAAACUAACAAAAAGC
This is a long non-coding RNA of Neopsephotus bourkii (Bourke's parrot), 1562 nucleotides long. RefSeq lists it as uncharacterized. Lineage: Eukaryota; Metazoa; Chordata; Aves; Psittaciformes; Psittacidae. The record is from RefSeq and is a predicted model, not a curated record. The transcript is spliced from 2 exons.